UACAUGAAGCUGGAAUCGCUAGUAAUCGCGGAUCAGAAUGCCGCGGUGAAUACGUUCCCGGGUCUUGUACACACCGCCCGUCACACCAUGGGAGUCGGAAAUGCCCGAAGCCGGUGACUCAACCUUUAAGGAGAGAGCCGUCGAAGGCAGGUCUGAUAACUGGGGUGAAGUCGUAACAAGGUAGC
This 185-nucleotide ribosomal RNA is filed under the name uncultured bacterium. RNAcentral describes it as "partial 16S ribosomal RNA". It matches the Rfam family "Bacterial small subunit ribosomal RNA", at positions 1317 to 1500 of the family's 1533-position model. The record is from RNAcentral.